Long non-coding RNA from Daucus carota subsp. sativus, 1241 nucleotides. RefSeq lists it as uncharacterized. The record is from RefSeq and is a predicted model, not a curated record. NCBI's taxonomy places the organism in Eukaryota, Viridiplantae, Streptophyta, Magnoliopsida, Apiales, Apiaceae. The transcript is spliced from 2 exons.
UAAUGGUAUAUCUGUGCAUGAUGUUGUCGGUGGUUAGUUUCGAUCGUUUCGAGUUUCAAAUGUUAAAGUUCUUAAUCCUUUGUUCAUUACUAAUCCCAAAGUCAUUAUUGAUAUGUGACUCAAUAUAUCGAUAUCACGAAUAUGCUAAUUGAAAAUUUUGGUUUUUCUUAACUCUAAAGGGGGUAUUAGCAAAAAAAAAAAAAAAAAGAGUUCUCAGAUUAGGAUUUUAAAAUAUGUGAGAAUGUUCAUGGUCACCCAUAAUUAAUGAGUUGCUCUUUACUCAUGUUCUUUUUGCCCCUGGGCUGCUCUUUCUCAAGCUUUAUGUGAGUUGCUCUUUGCAUACAUUAUUUCAUUAAGCUCAAAUAUUUAUAAUGUAUUUAGGACAAAAGUUGUUGGUGCUGGAGGAGGAGGUUCAACUGAAGUAAAUAUAUGAUUAAAAGUACAUGAAGGUGUUCCAAUCCCAACUUACUUUGACAUUGACAUGCAAGCGAGAGACACAUUUUCUGAAAAUUCCAAUCCCAACUUUCAAAUUACAGAUGGCAGAUCCAUUAACUGCAUUGAUGUAUGUUGUAUGAGUUAUGAACUUCCUCAAGGCGCUCAUUUCAAAGACACUCUAAACUAGAGAAGAUUCUGUUAUAGGACCAGCAUGGGAUUCACCUUUAGACCCGUCUGAUGAGGAAGAGCAUCAGGGUCCUUUAUUGUGCCCGGAAGAUGCUAAUGAGGAUAAUAAAGAGAGGGAGAAGAUUUUGAUCGCUGAAGAUCCUCUUUCAAAGAAUUCCUCCGACUUGACUCCGGCAAAUAUCAUCACUGAUGAAGUAUGUCUCGGUGAUCCAACUCCAAGCAAGGAAUCUGGUGAAGCUCGCACUAAUGUCUCCGCUGAUGCUGAUACCCAAGCAAAUGUGAUGAAGGCUACAACAGUGAAGCUCGAGAAAAUUACUUCAGGGAGCAUUACAGAUCAGUCAUAUGAAUCAUAUGAGAGUAAGACACCUGGGAAGUUUAAUGCCCUGCAUAUAGUAUUUCAAUCAUUGGGACCUAUAGACAGAAGUAAAAUGCUCAGCAGAGUAAACACAUUGACAGAGCAAAAUGAGGCCUGACUACUGUGAAGGAAAUGGUCAAUUAUAAGCAGUGCAUUUAGUCAGCUAGAAUGUAAGGUUGCGAAGAUUUGUAAAUCAUCUAUUUCUUUUCUUAAACAUUUGGAUUCUUGCAUUUCAAUAUCUGUAAUGAUAUUACUUCAUGUUUCA